This 492-nucleotide ribosomal RNA is filed under the name uncultured bacterium. RNAcentral describes it as "partial 16S ribosomal RNA". It matches the Rfam family "Bacterial small subunit ribosomal RNA", at positions 29 to 507 of the family's 1533-position model. The record is from RNAcentral.
AGUGAACGCUGGCGGUAGGCCUAACACAUGCAAGUCGAACGGCAGCACAGUAAGAGCUUGCUCUUACGGGUGGCGAGUGGCGGACGGGUGAGGAAUACAUCGGAAUCUACUUUUUCGUGGGGGAUAACGUAGGGAAACUUACGCUAAUACCGCAUACGACCUACGGGUGAAAGCAGGGGAUCUUCGGACCUUGCGCGAUUGAAUGAGCCGAUGUCGGAUUAGCUAGUUGGCGGGGUAAAGGCCCACCAAGGCGACGAUCCGUAGCUGGUCUGAGAGGAGGAUAGGCCACACUGGAACUGAGACACGGUCCAGACUCCUACGGGAGGCAGCAGUGGGGAAUAUUGGACAAUGGGCGCAAGCCUGAUCCAGCCAUACCGCGUGGGUGAAGAAGGCCUUCGGGUUGUAAAGCCCUUUUGUUGGGAAAGAAAAGCAGCAGGUUAAUACCCCGCUGUUCUGACGGUACCCAAAGAAUAAGCACCGGCUAACUUCGUG